AUUGAACGCUGGCGGCAUGCCUUACACAUGCAAGUCGAACGGUAACAGGGAGCUUGCUCCGCUGACGAGUGGCGAACGGGUGAGUAAUGUAUCGGAACGUACCAUUCAGUGGGGGAUAACGUAGCGAAAGUUACGCUAAUACCGCAUAUUCUGUGCGCAGGAAAGCAGGGGCUCGCAAGACCUUGCGCUGAUUGAGCGGCCGAUAUCAGAUUAGCUAGUUGGUGAGGUAAAAGCUCACCAAGGCGACGAUCUGUAGCGGGUCUGAGAGGAUGAUCCGCCACACUGGAACUGAGACACGGUCCAGACUCCUACGGGAGGCAGCAGUGGGGAAUUUUGGACAAUGGGGGCGAACCCUGAUCCAGCCAUUCCGCGUGCAGGAUGAAGGCCCUCGGGUUGUAAACUGCUUUUGUACGGAACGAAAAGGUCUCUCUUAAUACGGGGGGCUCAUGACGGUACCGUAAGAAUAAGCACCGGCUAACUACGUGCCAG
RNAcentral lists this ribosomal RNA (489 nucleotides) under uncultured bacterium. RNAcentral's name for it is "bacterial SSU rRNA". It matches the Rfam family "Bacterial small subunit ribosomal RNA", at positions 30 to 511 of the family's 1533-position model. The record is from RNAcentral.